This 291-nucleotide ribosomal RNA is filed under the name uncultured Glomeraceae. RNAcentral's name for it is "partial small subunit ribosomal RNA". It matches the Rfam family "Eukaryotic small subunit ribosomal RNA", at positions 569 to 864 of the family's 1831-position model. Lineage: Eukaryota; Fungi; Glomeromycota; Glomeromycetes; Glomerales; Glomeraceae. The record is from RNAcentral.
AGCAGCCGCGGUAAUUCCAGCUCCAAUAGCGUAUAUUAAAGUUGUUGCAGUUAAAAAGCUCGUAGUUGAAUUUCGGGAUCAGUUCGCUGGUCGUGCCUCUGGUAUGUACUGGUGUUACUGGUUCCUCCCUUCUGACGAACUGUCAUGUCAUUUGUUUGGUGUGGCAGGGAAUCAGGACUGUUACUUUGAAAAAAUUAGAGUGUUUAAAGCAGGCUCGCGCUUGAAUACAUUAGCAUGGAAUAAUGAAAUAGGACGUUCGAUCCUAUUUUGUUGGUUUCUAGGAUUGACGUA